This 27-nucleotide small RNA is filed under the name Bombyx mori (domestic silkworm). Its description in RNAcentral is "ovarian small RNA-23396". Lineage: Eukaryota; Metazoa; Arthropoda; Insecta; Lepidoptera; Bombycidae. The record is from RNAcentral.
UAUAGGUUCAGUAUCUUGCAUGUCUUC